CCUACGGGAGGCUGCAGUGGGGACUAUUGGGCAAUGGGCGCAAGCCUGACCCAGCAACGCCGCGUGAAGGAAGAAGGCUUUCGGGUUGUAAACUUCUUUUCACAGGGAAGAGCAGAAGACGGUACCCCUUGAAUUAGGCCCGGCUAACUAAGUUCCAGAAGCCGCGGUAAUACGUAGGUGGCAAGCGUUGUCCGGAUUUACUGGGUGUAAAGGGCGUGCAGCCGGGAAGACAAGUCAGAUGUGAAAUCCCGCGGCUCAACCGCGGAACUGCAUUUGAAACUGUUUUUCUUGAGUACCGGAGAGGUCAUCGGAAUUCCUAGUGUAGCGGUGAAAUGCGUAGAUAUAAGGAGGAACACCAGUGGCGAAGGCGGAUGGCUGGACGGCAACUGACGGUGAGGCGCGAAAGCGUGGGGAGCAAACAGGAUUAGAUACCCCAGUAGUC
This 442-nucleotide ribosomal RNA is filed under the name uncultured bacterium. RNAcentral describes it as "partial 16S ribosomal RNA". It matches the Rfam family "Bacterial small subunit ribosomal RNA", at positions 338 to 795 of the family's 1533-position model. The record is from RNAcentral.